AGUGAACGCUGGCGGUAGGCCUAACACAUGCAAGUCGAACGGCAGCACAGUAAGAGCUUGCUCUUACGGGUGGCGAGUGGCGGACGGGUGAGGAAUACAUCGGAAUCUACUUUUUCGUGGGGGAUAACGUAGUGAAACUUACGCUAAUACCGCAUACGACCUACGGGUGAAAGCAGGGGAUCUUCGGACCUUGCGCGAUUGAAUGAGCCGAUGUCGGAUUAGCUAGUUGGCGGGGUAAAGGCCCACCAAGGCGACGAUCCGUAGCUGGUCUGAGAGGAUGAUCAGCCACACUGGAAGUGAGACACGGUCCAGACUCCUACGGGAGGCAGCAGUGGGGAAUAUUGGACAAUGGGCGAAAGCCUGAUCCAGCCAUACCGCGUGGGUGAAGAAGGCCUUCGGGUUGUAAAGCCCUUUUGUUGGGAAAGAAAAGCAGCAGGUUAAUACGCCGCUGUUCUGACGGUACCCAAAGAAUAAGCACCGGCUAACUUCGUG
RNAcentral lists this ribosomal RNA (492 nucleotides) under uncultured bacterium. RNAcentral describes it as "partial 16S ribosomal RNA". It matches the Rfam family "Bacterial small subunit ribosomal RNA", at positions 29 to 507 of the family's 1533-position model. The record is from RNAcentral.